CAGUCGCCGCGGUAAUACGGAGGGUGCAAGCGUUAAUCGGAAUUACUGGGCGUAAAGCGCACGCAGGCGGUUUGUUAAGUCAGAUGUGAAAUCCCCGAGCUUAACUUGGGAACUGCAUUUGAAACUGGCAAGCUAGAGUCUUGUAGAGGGGGGUAGAAUUCCAGGUGUAGCGGUGAAAUGCGUAGAGAUCUGGAGGAAUACCGGUGGCGAAGGCGGCCCCCUGGGAUAAUACUGACGCUCAUGCACGAAAGCGUGGGGAGCAAACAGGAUUAGAUACCCGAGUAGUCCCUGUCUCUUAUAC
This 301-nucleotide ribosomal RNA is filed under the name uncultured bacterium. RNAcentral describes it as "partial 16S ribosomal RNA". It matches the Rfam family "Bacterial small subunit ribosomal RNA", at positions 509 to 807 of the family's 1533-position model. The record is from RNAcentral.